This is a non-coding RNA of Chelonoidis abingdonii (Abingdon island giant tortoise), 100 nucleotides long. The record is from RefSeq and is a predicted model, not a curated record. Lineage: Eukaryota; Metazoa; Chordata; Testudines; Testudinidae.
CAGUGCUGGUGGAGUGUCACUUUGCUUAUUAGCCUCAGAGACACUGCAGAACAAUUGAUUACAAUAGGUUAUAUAGGAUUUUUAUAGGCGGGUAAAGGAA